UCUCUGUCUCAGUCCCCCUCCGUCUACCUGUUACUCUCUCUCUCUCUCUCUCUCUCUCUCUCUCUCUCUCUCUCUCUCUCUCUCUCUCUCUCUCUCUCACACACAAACACACACGUGUCCAGUGACCUCCUCAGUGCUGGGCCUGUGUAGAUAUUUUUGGGCAGUGUGGGAAAGAGUCUGUCUAGUAGACUGCAUAAUGACUCAACAAAGAGGCAAACAGAAAAAACAACUACGUGUUUAGAGAGUUGGCAAUGGCAUUAAUGAGUUCCAGGGUGAAAUGUCCUCUAGAUACAGAUCUAGGAUCAUCUUCCUCUCCUCCAAUCCACAACCUUAACCAACCAUGUAUCUAGGAGAAAACUUCAAUCCUGUCUCAGAGCUCUAUUCUAAUUGUCCGUAGAGCUCUGAGACAGGAUUGUGUCGAGGCACAGAUCUGGGGGAAGGGUACCAAAAAAAUGUCUGCAGCAUUGAAGGUCCCCAAGAACACAGUGGUCUCCAUCAGUCUUAAAUGGAGAAGUUUGGAACCACCAAGACUCUUCCUAGAGCUUGUCGACCGGCAAAACUGAGCAGGGAGGUGACCAAGAACCCGAUGGUCACUUUGACAGAGCUCCAGAGUUCCUCUGUGGAGAUGGGAGAACCUUCCAGAAGGACAACCAUCUCUGCAGCACUCUACCAAUCAGGCCUUUAGAGGGGCCAGACGGAAGCCACUCCUCAGUAAAAGGCACAUGACAGCCCGCUUGGAGUUUGCCAAAAGGCAUCUAAAAGACUCUCAGACCAUGAUGGUCUGAUGAAACCAAUAUUGAACUCUUUGGCCUGAAUGCCAAGAGUCACGCCUGGAGGAAAUCUGGCACCACUGGAGUAAAGUACAGAGAGAUCCUUGAUGAAAACCUGCUCCAGAGCGCUCAGGACCUCAGACUGGGGUGAUGGUUCACCUUCCAACAGGACAACGACCCUAAGAACACAGCCAAGACAAUGCAGGAGUGGCUUCGGGACAAGUCUCUGAAUGUCCUUGAGUGGCCCAGCCAGAGCCCGGACUUGAACCCAAUUGAACAUCUCUGAAGAGACCUGAAAAUAGCUGUGCAGUGACGUUCCUCAUCCAACCUGACAGAGCUUGAGAGGAUCUGCAGAGAAGUCAGAAACUCCCCAAAUACAGGUGUGCCAAGCUUGUAGCGUCAUACCCAAGAAGACUCUAGGCUGUAAUCACUGCCAAAGGUGCUUCAACAAAGUACUGAGUAAAGGGUCUGAAUACUUAUGUAAAUGUGAUAUCUUUUAAAAAAGUUUUAAUUUUUUUUUUAAAUAUGCAACAUUUUCUAAAAACCUGUUUUUGCUUUGUCAUUAUGGGGUAUUGUGAUGUCAUUAUGGGGUAUUGUGAUGUCAUUAUGGGGUAUUGUGAUGUCAUUAUGGGGUGCUGUGUGUAGAACAAAUGAGGGAAAAAACGAUUUAACCCAUGUUAUAUAUAAUAAGGCUGUAACGUAACAAAAUGUGGAAAAAGUGAAGGGGUCUGAAUACUUUUCGAAUGCACUGUAUCUCCAUAGCUCCUACCAACACCCCAAAUAACUAACACCCCAAUGUAUCUCCAUAGGUCUACCAACACCCCAAUAUAUCUCCAUAGGCCGACCAACACCCCAAUAUAUCUCCAUAGGCCGACCAACACCCCAAUAUAUCUCCAUAGGCCGACCAACACCCCAAUAUAUCUCCAUAGGCCGACCAACACCCCAAUAUAUCUCCACAGGCCGACCAACACCCCAAAUAACCAACACCCCAAUGUAUCUCCAUAGGUCUACCAACACCCCAAUAUAUCUCCAUAGGUCUACCAACACCCCAAUAUAUCUCCAUAGGCCGACCAACACCCCAAUAUAUCUCCAUAGCUCCUACCAACACCCCAAAUAACUAACACCCCAAUGUAUCUCCAUAGGUCUACCAACACCCCAAUAUAUCUCCAUAGGCCGACCAACACCCCAAUAUAUCUCCAUAGAUCUACCAACACCCCAAUAUAUCUCCAUAGGUCUACCAACACCCCAAUAUAUCUCCAUAGGUCUACCAACACCCCAAUAUAUCUCCAUAGGUCUACCAACACCCCAAAUAACUAACACCCCAAUAUAUCUCCAUAGGUCUACCAACACCCCCAAUAACUAACACCCCAAUAUAUCUCCAUAGGUCUACCAACACCCCAAAUAACUAACACCCCAAUAUAUCUCCAUAGGUCUACCAACACCCCAAUAUAUCUCCAUAGGUCUACCAACACCCCAAUAUAUCUCCAUAGCUCCUACCAACACCCCAAAUAACUAACACCCCAAUGUAUCUCCAUAGAUCUACCAACACCCCAAUAUAUCUCCAUAGAUCUACCAACACCCCAAUAUAUCUCCAUAGAUCUACCAACACCCCAAUAUAUCUCCAUAGAUCUACCAACACCCCAAUAUAUCUCCAUAGAUCUACCAACACCCCAAUAUAUCUCCAUAGAUCUACCAACACCCCAAUAUAUCUCCAUAGAUCUACCAACACCCCAAUAUAUCUCCAUAGAUCUACCAACACCCCAAUAUAUCUCCAUAGAUCUACCAACACCCCAAUAUAUCUCCAUAGGUCUACCAACACCCCAAUAUAUCUCCAUAGCUCCUACCCACACCCCAAAUAACUAACACCCCAAUAUAUCUCCAUAGGUCUACCAACACCCCAAUAUAUCUCCAUAGGUCUACCAACACCCCAAUAUAUCUCCAUAGGUCUACCAACACCCCAAUAUAUCUCCAUAGCUCCUACCAACACCCCAAUAUAUCUCCAUAGGUCUACCAACACCCCAAUAUAUCUCCAUAGCUCCUACCAACACCCCAAAUAACUAACACCCCAAUAUAUCUCCAUAGGUCUACCAACACCCCAAUAUAUCUCCAUAGCUCCUACCAACACCCCAAUAUAUCUCCAUAGGUCUACCAACACCCCAAUAUAUCUCCAUAGCUCCUACCAACACCCCAAAUAACUAACACCCCAAUAUAUCUCCAUAGGUCUACCAACACCCCAAUAUAUCUCCAUAGCUCCUACCAACACCCCAAAUAACUAACACCCCAAUAUAUCUCCAUAGGUCUACCAACACCCCAAUAUAUCUCCAUAGGUCUACCAACACCCCAAUAUAUCUCCAUAGGCCGACCAACACCCCAAUAUAUCUCCAUAGGUCUACCAACACCCCAAUAUAUCUCCAUAGGUCUACCAACACCCCAAUAUAUCUCCAUAGGUCUACCAACACCCCAAUAUAUCUCCAUAGGUCUACCAACACCCCAAAUAACUAACACCCCAAUAUAUCUCCAUAGGUCUACCAACACCCCAAAUAACUAACACCCCAAUAUAUCUCCAUAGGUCUACCAACACCCCAAAUAACUAACACCCCAAUAUAUCUCCAUAGGUCUACCAACACCCCAAUAUAUCUCCAUAGCUCCUACCAACACCCCAAAUAACUAACACCCCAAUGUAUCUCCAUAGAUCUACCAACACCCCAAUAUAUCUCCAUAGAUCUACCAACACCCCAAUAUAUCUCCAUAGAUCUACCAACACCCCAAUAUAUCUCCAUAGAUCUACCAACACCCCAAUAUAUCUCCAUAGAUCUACCAACACCCCAAUAUAUCUCCAUAGGUCUACCAACACCCCAAUAUAUCUCCAUAGCUCCUACCCACACCCCAAAUAACUAACACCCCAAUAUAUCUCCAUAGGUCUACCAACACCCCAAUAUAUCUCCAUAGGUCUACCAACACCCCAAUAUAUCUCCAUAGGUCUACCAACACCCCAAUAUAUCUCCAUAGGUCUACCAACACCCCAAUAUAUCUCCAUAGCUCCUACCAACACCCCAAAUAACUAACACCCCAAUAUAUCUCCAUAGGUCUACCAACACCCCAAAUAACUAACACCCCAAUAUAUCUCCAUAGCCCCUACCAACACCCGCAAUAACUAACACCCCAAUAUAUCUCCA
This is a long non-coding RNA of Oncorhynchus keta (chum salmon), 3946 nucleotides long. RefSeq lists it as uncharacterized. Lineage: Eukaryota; Metazoa; Chordata; Actinopteri; Salmoniformes; Salmonidae. The transcript has 7 exons. The record is from RefSeq and is a predicted model, not a curated record.